Molecule: ribosomal RNA, 456 nt
Filed under: Salmonella enterica subsp. enterica serovar Typhimurium
Lineage: Bacteria; Pseudomonadati; Pseudomonadota; Gammaproteobacteria; Enterobacterales; Enterobacteriaceae
Description: partial 23S ribosomal RNA
Rfam family: Bacterial large subunit ribosomal RNA
Source: RNAcentral
GAUUCGUCACACUAUCAUUAACUGAAUCCAUAGGUUAAUGAGGCGAACCGGGGGAACUGAAACAUCUAAGUACCCCGAGGAAAAGAAAUCAACCGAGAUUCCCCCAGUAGCGGCGAGCGAACGGGGAGGAGCCCAGAGCCUGAAUCAGCAUGUGUGUUAGUGGAAGCGUCUGGAAAGGCGCGCGAUACAGGGUGACAGCCCCGUACACAAAAGCGCAUGUGCUGUGAGCUCGAUGAGUAGGGCGGGACACGUGGUAUCCUGUCUGAAUAUGGGGGGACCAUCCUCCAAGGCUAAAUACUCCUGACUGACCGAUAGUGAACCAGUACCGUGAGGGAAAGGCGAAAAGAACCCCGGCGAGGGGAGUGAAAAAGAACCUGAAACCGUGUACGUACAAGCAGUGGGAGCACCCUUCGGGGUGUGACUGCGUACCUUUUGUAUAAUGGGUCAGCGACUUAU